RNAcentral lists this ribosomal RNA (207 nucleotides) under uncultured Rubrobacter sp. RNAcentral's name for it is "partial 16S ribosomal RNA". It matches the Rfam family "Bacterial small subunit ribosomal RNA", at positions 568 to 774 of the family's 1533-position model. Lineage: Bacteria; Bacillati; Actinomycetota; Rubrobacteria; Rubrobacterales; Rubrobacteraceae. The record is from RNAcentral.
CGUGUAGGCGGCCCGGUAAGUCCGCUGUGAAAACCCGGGGCUCAACCCCGGGCGUGCAGUGGAAACUGCCGGGCUAGAGGGCGGCAGAGGCGAGUGGAAUUCCCGGUGUAGCGGUGAAAUGCGCAGAUAUCGGGAGGAACACCAGUAGCGAAGGCGGCUCGCUGGGCCGUUCCUGACGCUGAGACGCGAAAGCUAGGGGAGCGAACA